AAGAUGGAGGCUGCGAGAACAUUCCAAAGUAUCUACUUGAUGCUACAAAGCUUUGUAGCAAACCAGCUUCUUGAUUGUCCAACUGCAGAGGACACAACUCAAGUCAAGCUCUUAUUUGGAGCAAAAGGGACUGUCAGCAUCCAAGGCAAGUGUGUUGGAGGUGAGCGCAGGGUUGCAAUUUAUCGGAUGGAGAGGGGUGUAGAAAAAUGGACAGUUAAUUGUUCAUGUGGAGCGAAGGAUGAUGAUGGUGAGAGGAUGCUAUCUUGUGACUCAUGCCAUGUGUGGCAGCACACUAGGUGUGUUGGAAUUAGUGAUUUUGUUCAGGUGCCGAAGAGAUUUGUGUGUGCAUCUUGUAAAUUACUCCACAAGUCUAAGAUGUAUAGUAGUUUCCCUAACAAAAGAUGUAAGACUGGCUCUUUUAGUCAUGCCAGUAGUGGGUUGUGGAGGCCCAACAUCAGUUAACAUGUACAUAUCGACAACAAUGAGUUCCUAAUAUGACAGAUGCAAGUUUUGCAUGACUACUAUGUACUGAAAUAUAUAUGAUGUCUGGUUUGUAUGAGGUUAAUCAUUCAGGGUUCAUGAUUCAUGAGCAAACCAGCAUGAAGUUUUAGUGUAUAUUCCAGCAGACCUUGAGCAUGGGUCGGUGACUUGCUUUGUUCUCUGGCCACCAACAUCUUCUAAAUGGCACUGAAAAAUAAGCGGAAACUGUUUUAAAACCUGAGAUAAAGUAUGUUUGCACAGUUGUAUACAUUGCUGUGAUAUUAUAAGCUAUAAAUCUUUUAUCACACAACAAAAGCGAAGGAGUGUAUCCAGUCCAGACUCCUGUUUCAAAACAAGAGAAAAUAAAAUCUCAUCAAAAUAUGUCAAUGUUGUUUCAAAACAGGAGUGUAUACAGUGACUUGACAUUAAUACAUUGAUCAAAAAGACAAAAAAUAGUGAAAGAGCAUGCUGCGACCAAAUUCCAAGUUGCAGCAACACUUACUAUAGCCUAACAAUUAGCAAAAUAAUAAGGUGGAUACUGGGGACAAUUCCUAGAUUUUUGCGUCAUGAUUUAAUAUUUAUAAGUACGUGCUUAUAACAGUGAAAUCCAGUAAUAAGUCACUGUAUGCUACUGCUAAGCUCCACUUAUUAGAGUUCUAGGUAUAUAACCUAAAUAAAAUAUGAUGGCCGUGCAUAGCGCCAGUCCGAUCUGCACAACAGUGAAUAUCAUAUGCAUAAAUUACCUAACCAAAAUAACAAUAAAAAAAGAUAUUGAACCCUACACACUUUGGUCCAUCAGAAACAGUCCAGGCAUUGUUGGCUUGAUGCCGAUACAUUACACACUAAUAAAAAUAAGAAAUUAUGCAAAGAUUCCGAGGUUCGUUUGACAUCAAAACAGAAAUACCCAAUAUGAGUUGGAAACCAUUUUUUUCAUACAUGGAAAGAAACAAGGCAAGUGAAGAAACAAUAUCAUUUAUAAUUGCAAGAGGACAAUUGGAGUGUAGCAAAUUAAGGACAAGCUCAGGAUGCUAAAUUCUAGAAACCAAAACUCUCGCCCUUCCCAAAUUAAUUGAAGUUCUAGGUUUGUCUAAGUCAAACUUAUUUAAGUUUGACCAAGUCUAUAGAAAAAUAUGCUUAGAUCUACAAUACCAAAUAUAUAUAAAACGGAAAUACAUUUUGUGAAAAAUACCAAGAAGCCGGAUUCAGUUCAGUCCCGUUUUCAAGAUCCGGUUCAGUGUAAUGAAACUAAUUUGGUGUUGUAGGUCUUGAUAUAUUUUUCUUAUAGACUUCGUCAAAUUUGAAUAAGGACAAAGCUAGAACUUCAAAGUAAUCCACAAUAGACAAACUGAAGCAUACUAAAUGAAAGACAAGCUCUUGCAUGCUACACCUUAGUUUUAGAAUAGACAAACAGGCACGUUCUAACUUCUAAGGGAAAACAUGGUUAGAUAGAUGAUUACAACUUGCACAUGAAAGAACAGGGGUAACUAUUGUUAACAGAAAACAGCCAACAAAUAUAUUGCGCUUUAUGAGGUUACAGAGUACAAACUUAACUUGAAAAUGACAGUGUUCAAAAUAGACAAUGAAAAAUUCAUCAGUACUGAACAUAAUUAACAGAAGUUAUUUUGAGGGUACAUAAGAAUAUUCAUGGAACAAACAACAUGAAGAUACAUAUAGCUGCAAUCUUAAACAAAAAUCCAAGCACAUUUGUCUGUAAAAAGCUAACAAACUCUGUGAUACUUCCAGCUAAUAUGUUCAGAGAAACAGGAGCAUGAGAAAAAAUAACAGAAACUAUAUGAUUUAACUGGUUUCAAAACAUGAAGUCGUAAAAGCUCUUGUUUAUGACUUUGCGUCCAUUGAUAAUGAAGAAUCAGAGUAGUGAGAAAGACUGUAAAUGUUCUGAAAAUUAAAAGAAAAGAGAGAUUGCAUGUUCAUCUUAGCUGCAGUGCUGAUCGUGAGAAGUACAUCCUAUACGUUUUACCAAGGGAAAAAUAGGGAUAACAGAAAGUCACUGUUGUCACUGUUCUAGUGAAGAAUUUCAUGCUAUCUACCUUCUUGGUUUACCCCCUAGUGCUUCGAUUCAUAUGCAAUUACACAACUGAUCAGUGAAAGACUAGCAAAAUAUUUCUUUUCGAAUGGAUACUGCUCAACUACAACAGGAGGUUAGUACCUCCCAAACUAGAUAAGGCAUGUGACACAAUUUCAUCCGAACUAUCAAACAGGUUUUGCAAGCGGCAGUCUUCACUCUAAGAAACUAGAUGGAGUCAUUUUUAAAGUGGACUUUGAGAAAGCGUACGACAAAGUUAAGUGGCCUUUCCUGCAACAAGCUCUGCGUAUGAAAGGGUUCGACGAGGGCUGGAGGAGCCAGAUUGAAUCGUUUACGCAGAAGGGUAGUGUUGGUAUUAAAGUGAAUGACGACAUUGGUCAUUACUUCCAGACACACAAGGGCUUGCGGCAAGGUGAUCCGAUGUCCCCUAUUCUGUUCAACAUAGUGGUGGACAUGUUGGCAGUUCUGAUAGGGAGAGCCAAGGAGGCAGGCCAAGUUGGAGGCUUGGUGCCUCAUUUAGUGAAUGGAGGUAUUUCCAUCCUGCAGUACGCUGAUGACACUAUCAUCUUCAUGGAGCAUGACUUGGUAAAAGCAAGAAAUAUGAAGCUGUUGCUUUGUUUGUUUGAGCAAUUGAGUGGGCUCAAAAUUAACUUCCAUAAAAGUGAGUUGUUCUGCUUUGGUAGAGCCAAAGAGGAACAAGAAGCCUAUAAACAAUUGUUUGGGUGUGGUUUGGGGGAGUUACCAUUCACAUACCUAGGGAUUCCAAUACAUCACCGUAGGCUUACGAACAAUGAAUGGAAGUGUAUUGAAGAUCGAUUUGAGAAAAAGCUAAGCUGUUGGAAGGGUAAGCUAAUGUCAUAUGGAGGCCGGUUAAUUCUUAUUAAUUCGGUGUUGACGAGUAUGCCCAUGUUCCUUUUGUCUUUUUUUGAAGUACCGGUUGGGGUAAGGAAAAGACUGGACUUCUAUCGAUCGCGGUUCUUUUGGCAGGGAGAUGAGCUAAAAAGAAAAUACCGGUUAGCGAAGUGGGAUAUCAUUUGUAGGCCGAAAGACCAAGGGGGUAUGGGGAUUGAAAAUCUCGAGGUCAAGAACCGAUGCCUUCUUAGUAAGUGGUUAUGGAAGUUAGCUUCAGCAACUGAAGCCACUUGGGCUCAAAUCCUUCGUAAUAAGUAUCUUCAAACCAAAACUUUGUCUCAGGUCACGGUUAGACCGACUGAUUCACCCUUUUGGAAAGGGCUAAUGAAAGUUAAGCUUUCAUUCUUUCAGAGGGCAAAGCAUGUUGUUGGAAAUGGUGCCAGCACAAGAUUCUGGGAGGAUUGUUGGCUCGGUGAUACGCCCCUUGCAAUCCAGUAUCCGGCGUUGUAUCGUGUUGUACAAAGGCGUGAUACUCUGGUUGCAACAGUCUUUCGUUCCAUUCCACUUAAUAUUCAAUUUAGAAGAUCGUUAGUGGGCAAUCGUUGGGAACAGUGGCUGCAUCUAGUUAGGAGACUGAUGCAGGUCCAGCUUUCACAACAACCUGAUAAACUGCGCUGGAAUCUCACUAGGUCGGGGGAAUUCACAGUUAAAUCCAUGUAUGUUGCUGUUAUCAACUCCAGCUCGAUUCCUACUUCCAAGCAUGUGUGGGAUGUCAAAGUUCCUUUGAAGAUUAAGGUGUUUAUGUGGUUUCUUCAUAAACAAGUCAUCUUAACAAAGGAUAAUUUAAAAAAGCGCAAUUGGACAGGUCCUACUAGGUGUAGUUUCUGUGAUCAGGGUGAAACCAUUAAGCAUUUAUUCCUUGAGUGCCCACUAGCUAGAAUUCUUUGGACAACUGUUCAUGUUGCUUUCAAUAUUACUCCACCAAAUUCGGUGAAUAUGAUGUUUGGAGCUUGGCUUAAUAGGGUAGAGCCCGGGUUAGCUAAACAUAUUUGCGUGGGGGUGUGCGCCUUAGUGUGGGCACUGUGGAAUUGCAGAAAUGAUCUUGUUUUUAACAGAACAACAAAAACUCAUGUUUUGCAGGUUAUCUUCAGAGCCACGGCACUUAUCCGUUCCUGGUCGCUACUCACUCCGACGGAGGCCAGGGAGCGUUUGGUUACUGGUGCUAUCCGAUGGGAGACGGUAGCUCGGGAUAUCUUCAGCCGGUUUGGAUGGCGGUCAUGUAAUAGGAUAGGCAAUUAGUUUACCUGUCUUUUGUUGAGCCAAUCGGCUGUGGUUUAUCCUUUGUUGGGCUAGCUUAUGUAUCUAGCCUUUGGGUUCUGUGUGAGCCUUUUCGUUUUCUUUUUAGUUUGCUACUACUCAGACUUCGAGACUUUGUGGAUGUUUUAUUAUUAAUAAGAUGGCCGUAUGCAUCAUGCUGAUGCAGAGGCCGGGGAUCCCCCUUUUCGAAAAAAAAAGUCGUGUUUUCAACAAGAAAGGCAGAAAACUAAAACAUCCGUGACAGAAGUUUCAUUUCUCAAUAUAUAUGUACCAACACAUUAAUGAUUAAUAAAAGUACAGAUAGACUCCUCAAAAUACUUGGGCCAGAUGCUGCACCAGUGAUAUAGAAUGAUCAAGGUAUAGUGCCACAAGGUUUUACCUAAUCUAAUUUUCCACCCUUCCCUCUGUUUCAAACCUACACUUGCUAACCUAGCAGCAACUGUGGAGUUUUGCAGUAUGCUGGUUUUACUUACAUGAACAAAUUUUAUGUUGGGAGCAGGGAGUAUCCAAGAGGUGUGAUGCUUCCAGCUAAUUGUACAUGCCAGAAAAAAUAUGGUUGAUUCUAGAGCUAAGUUGAUACUCCGAGAGGUGUUCUACGCAUGGGAGCUUAUCAGCUACUCAGUUCAUCUACCGUGUGGAUUUUGAUCUCAACAAUUCAUUUAAAUCAAACAUAGUAUGCAGUUCCCAAACAGAAUGUACUCAAGAGUCCAAAAGCGAAGAUCAGAGGCAGAUUGUUGAAUUGGGAACAUACUGCACAUGAGAAUGUCAUGGCACCACGAACUCUGUUGGGAAACAAGAAGCUAAUUCCAAAACAAUAAAAAUGAAGAAUUUGUAUAGCUAGACCUAUAUGGACUGACAUAGGAUAGACUGAAUACAUAAUUCUGCUAGUGCUGAGACAAUCAAGUGGUACUUCAAUGCCAAUAAUUUCCAGAUUUUGAACCAACUCUAAACCACAGCAACGAAAACUCAAUAACUUCAGCUCAAGAGCUAAACUCAUUAACGAAAUAUGAAGAAUAAAAAUAGAGAAUCAUAAAAAGAACACAUCUGAUAAUCAUAAAGCAAGGUAACAAUCCUAAAAGACCGAUUCUGCAUACACUGUUCGGGGAAAAGAGAACAUUGAAGCAGUUGGGUAAGAUUUUCUUUUAGCAUAGUACACCUAGCUGACCACAAGGAAAUUUGACGAAUAAAAAUAGAGAAUCAUAAAGAGAACACAUCUAAUAAUCAUAAAGCAAGGCAACAAUCCCAAAAGACCGAUUCUGCAUACAGUGUCCGGGGGGAAGAGAACACUGGAGCCGUUGGCAAAGAAUAUUUUUUUAGCAUAUAGUACACCUAGAUGAUCACAAGGAAGAAGUAAUCGAGCAUGAGAAUAUAAAGCUACACACAUCUCAAUGACAUCAUUUACUCAAACUGGGAACACAACCUAGGUUUUUGCGGCAAUUAAACUGCUCCACGACUAAGUACAAGCAAAUUCCCGCAUUACAGAUAUGGCUUGAGCUGUUGGCUAAUCUUAUCAUGAGUAUAGCCCAUACAUAAGGACCAAUCUUGGCAUCAUAAUUGACAAAUACAAAUGCCCUAAAUACCUAUAAUCACCGAGAUGAACACGAAAUCAUGAUUAAUAGGCUACUUAAGCAAUUAAUUUAGAGGACCAGCACUACGGCCCUGUUACAGACGGCAAUUCCUCUGCAAUAUCUUGCAUAGAGCACAAUACAUCAACAGAGUAAACCGAAAGCUUACGCAUUCCUUGGGGACGACCAACUCGUGGAGACAGGAACAACCGAGAAUCGCAGACGACGCCUGAAAACCUAACCCCAGUCCCCAGAGCAAGUCCUCCACGGGAAAGACCAGCACACAGCAACGAUUAAGCCGCGCACAAGAUAAUCCGCGAGUGGAUUGACGGAGAAGGGAGGGGGAGCCCAAACCUUGGCCUGCCGGAGCGUCGAUCGUUCAGGGCGGAGGUGCGAAGAGAGGAAACCGGGAGGGGGAUUUCAAGUUUGUUCAUCGUUUGGUUUGGCUUUUAGUUGGGGAAAUACGGUCUGCCGUGAAGGGCGAACUUCUGGAGGAUAU
This 6757-nucleotide long non-coding RNA is filed under the name Triticum aestivum (bread wheat). Its description in RNAcentral is "long non-coding RNA (TAES_LNC001849)". Lineage: Eukaryota; Viridiplantae; Streptophyta; Magnoliopsida; Poales; Poaceae. The record is from RNAcentral.